CGAAAUCGGUAGACGCUACGGACUUAAAAUCCGUCGACUUUCUAAGUCGUGAGGGUUCAAGUCCCUCUAUCCCCA
This 75-nucleotide transfer RNA is filed under the name Poa glauca. Its description in RNAcentral is "partial tRNA-Leu". It matches the Rfam family "tRNA", at positions 11 to 71 of the family's 71-position model. Rfam says of the family: Transfer RNA (tRNA) molecules are approximately 80 nucleotides in length. Their secondary structure includes four short double-helical elements and three loops (D, anti-codon, and T loops). Further hydrogen bonds mediate the characteristic L-shaped molecular structure. tRNAs have two regions of fundamental functional importance: the anti-codon, which is responsible for specific mRNA codon recognition, and the 3' end, to which the tRNAs corresponding amino acid is attached (by aminoacyl-tRNA synthetases). tRNAs cope with the degeneracy of the genetic code in two manners: having more than one tRNA (with a specific anti-codon) for a particular amino acid; and 'wobble' base-pairing, i.e. permitting non-standard base-pairing at the 3rd anti-codon position. Lineage: Eukaryota; Viridiplantae; Streptophyta; Magnoliopsida; Poales; Poaceae. The record is from RNAcentral.